Molecule: ribosomal RNA, 1254 nt
Filed under: metagenome
Description: SSU rRNA
Rfam family: Eukaryotic small subunit ribosomal RNA
Source: RNAcentral
AGUCUGGUGCCAGCAGCCGCGGUAAUUCCAGCUCCAAUAGCGUAUAUUAAAGUUGUUGCAGUUAAAAAGCUCGUAGUUGAAUUUCGGGAUUGGCGCAUCGGUCGUGCCUCACGGGGUAUGAACUGGUGCAGUCAAUUUCUCACCUUCUGGAGAACCGCGAUGUCCUUAAUUGGAUGCCGCGGGGAACCAGGACCUUUACUUUGAAAAAAUUAGAGUGUUUAAAGCAGGCAUUUUUGCUUGAAUACAUUAGCAUGGAAUAAUAAAAUAGGACGGCAUGGUUCUAUUUUGUUGGUUUCUAGGACCACCGUAAUGAUUAAUAGGGGUAGUUGGGGGCAUUAGUAUUCAAUUGUCAGAGGUGAAAUUCUUGGAUUUAUUGAAGACUAACUACUGCGAAAGCAUUUGCCAAGGAUGUUUUCAUUAAUCAAGAACGAAAGUUAGGGGAUCGAAGACGAUCAGAUACCGUCGUAGUCUUAACCAUAAACUAUGCCGACUAGGAAUCAGACGAUGUUAAUUUUUUAAUGACUCGUUUGGCACCUUACGGGAAACCAAAGUGUUUGGGUUCCGGGGGGAGUAUGGUCGCAAGGCUGAAACUUAAAGGAAUUGACGGAAGGGCACCACCAGGGGUGGAGCCUGCGGCUUAAUUUGACCCAACACGGGAAAACUUACCAGGUCCAGACAUAGUAAGGAUUGACAGAUUGAGAGCUCUUUCUUGAUUCUAUGGGUGGUGGUGCAUGGCCGUUCUUAGUUGGUGGAGUGAUUUGUCUGGUUAAUUCCGUUAACGAACGAGACCUUAACCUGCUAAAUAGUUAAACCUGACUUUUUGUCAGGUUGACAACUUCUUAGAGGGACUAUCGGUGUUUAACCGAUGGAAGUUUGAGGCAAUAACAGGUCUGUGAUGCCCUUAGAUGUUCUGGGCCGCAGGCGCGCUACACUGAUAAAGUCAACAAGUAACUAACCUUUGCCGGAAGGCAUGGGUAAUCUUUUGAAACUUUAUCGUGCUGGGGAUAGAGCAUUGCAAUUAUCGCUCUUCAACGAGGAAUCCCUAGUAAGCGUAAGUCAUCAGCUUGCGUUGAUUACGUCCCUGCCCUUUGUACACACCGCCCGUCGCUACUACCGAUUGAAUGGCUUAGUGAGGUCUUCGGAUCGGCGGUAGAUGAGUAGCAAUAUUCGCCGGUUGCUGAGAAGUUGAUCAAACUUGGUCAUUUAGAGGAAGUAAAAGUCGUAACAAGGUUUCCGUAGGUUCCUGCGGAAGGA